Molecule: ribosomal RNA, 439 nt
Filed under: Salegentibacter salinarum
Lineage: Bacteria; Pseudomonadati; Bacteroidota; Flavobacteriia; Flavobacteriales; Flavobacteriaceae
Description: bacterial SSU rRNA
Rfam family: Bacterial small subunit ribosomal RNA
Source: RNAcentral
AUGCCGCGUGCAGGAAGACUGCCCUAUGGGUUGUAAACUGCUUUUACAGAGGAAGAAACACUCCUACGUGUGGGAGAUUGACGGUACUCUGCGAAUAAGGAUCGGCUAACUCCGUGCCAGCAGCCGCGGUAAUACGGAGGAUCCAAGCGUUAUCCGGAAUCAUUGGGUUUAAAGGGUCCGUAGGCGGACAAUUAAGUCAGUGGUGAAAGUCUUCCGCUCAACUGGAGAACUGCCAUUGAUACUGAUUGUCUUGAGUUAUUAUGAAGUGGUUAGAAUGAGUAGUGUAGCGGUGAAAUGCAUAGAUAUUACUCAGAAUACCGAUUGCGAAGGCAGAUCACUAAUAAUAUACUGACGCUGAUGGACGAAAGCGUAGGUAGCGAACAGGAUUAGAUACCCUGGUAGUCUACGCCGUAAACGAUGGUUACUAGCUGUUCGGCCC